Molecule: ribosomal RNA, 253 nt
Filed under: uncultured bacterium
Lineage: Bacteria
Description: partial 16S ribosomal RNA
Rfam family: Bacterial small subunit ribosomal RNA
Source: RNAcentral
UACGGGGGGGGCGAGCGUUGUUCGGAAUUAUUGGGCGUAAAGGGAGCGUAGGCGGUGGGGUAAGUUUGGUGGGAAACCUCCAGGCUCAACUUGGAGCUGGCAUCAAAUACUGCCGUGCUAGAGUCCGGAAGAGGAGUGUGGAAUUCCUGGUGUAGCGGUGAAAUGCGCAGAUAUCAGGAAGAACACCUAUGGCGAAGGCAGCACUCUGGGACGGUACUGACGCUGAGACGCGAAAGCGUGGGGAGCGAACAGG